This 16485-nucleotide long non-coding RNA is filed under the name Malus domestica (apple). Its description in RNAcentral is "long non-coding RNA (MDOM_LNC002309)". Lineage: Eukaryota; Viridiplantae; Streptophyta; Magnoliopsida; Rosales; Rosaceae. The record is from RNAcentral.
UGUGACAUAAAGCCACAGAACAUACUUCUCGAUGAUUAUUACACUCCUCGGAUUUCUGAUUUUGGAUUGGCAAAACUUUUGAUGAUGAAUCAGAGCCAGACUCAUACUGCUAUCCGAGGAACAAAAGGUUAUGUUGCACCUGAGUGGUUCAGGAACUUGCCAAUCACUACCAAAGUUGAUGUGUACAGCUUUGGUGUUGUGCUGCUGGAGAUUAUUUGUUGUAGGAGAAAUGUUGACGUGGAAGGUAACUUGGAAGAGAGAGCAAUUUUAACGGAUUGGGUUUAUGAUUGCUACGUUGAAGGAGUAUUAGAUGCUGUUGUAGAUCAUGAAGUUGAGGCAUUGGGUGAUCGAGCGACACUGGAAAAGUUUGUGAUGGUUGGGAUUUGGUGCAUUCAGGAAGAUCCUUCUCUUAGGCCUACUAUGAGGAGGGUUGUGCAGAUGUUUGAAGCAGUUGUCGAAGUGCAUGUUCCACCAUGUCCAUCUCCAUAUACCAGAGCAGGCUGAAGCCGCCAUUAGUUGUAUCGCAGCCAAGGUAUAAUUUAUUGUCACAGUAGUAGCUAGCUUGUUUCCUGUUUGUCAAACUAUCUUUAGUUUACCGACUUGUAGUUUUGUAGUGUGAUGAUUUAGAUCAGAACCGUUGAAAGAAUGCUUUAUGUAUGUAACUCUUGUUUAUGAUCUUUUAUGAAUGAUAAAGUGAUUCUUAUAUCUACACUUUGAUUUGGUUUUGCUGCUACCAAUUUGCUUAUACUCUACGCAAGAAGACGACACUUGCUUCAUUGGAAUCCUCCUAAGAACAAAUGAGUAGAGGCCAUCAAUUAGACAUCAAAAAAAAAAAAAAAAUUUUAACGAAAAGUACGCAGUACUGUUCAAUUUAACAAAAAAAAUCAUAUUUUUACACUUAAAAGUCAAAUAUGGUACUAUUCACUUUAUCUUUUAUUUUAUCCUUAUAGUUAAAACUCAAAAUUUUCAAACUCUUUUUAUUAGUUUUUCUAAAAAAUAAGUCACAAGUGAAACACCUCGAAUCUUCUCCCUUCUUCCCCAACACAACGAACCCUGGAUCUGCAACAACCAAGGCUACCGGCCCAUUGCUCCGGCUUGAGGUCGGUGGCCGCCUUUGUUCUUCCUCUACCUAGCCUAUCUCUAAUUCUCUGCCACUCCACCCCCUCCUAGCCACCCCUCUUCGUUUUCCCUCCACCGCGCCUCUGGCGCCCCUUUUCCGUGCCUUUUCUCACCUCUAUCAGUGCUCUAAGCGCCUGUUCUCCCCACCGUUUUAUAGGCAACCAUUUUUUCAUGGCUUUGUUUGAGCCUCCUCCCCAAAAUCGAGAUCUUCCUUCCUUCCAAGGGAUUUUCACUUGAAUUGGGGCUUGAUACGUGGCUUUGGGUUGGUUGGUUUCUUGGUUGUUACGGGUCAGAUCCACCUUCUUUGGCUUUAUUUUCAGGGUGGAGUUCUCUGUAAGCAGUUUGUGGUGGUGCCGCCUUACCUGGCCAGAUCUGUGGCUUCUCCACUUGCUUGGCUAGCGGUUGCCGCAGAUCUCCCUAGAUGCAAGUCUUGGUGGUCUUGGCUAGAGUUUCCUAAUUCUCAGUGUGGAGAUGAGCAAUUGGUGGAUUCCGUUCUCAAAGUAGGGUAGGUUUACUGUAGGGUUGUUGUUUGUACCGCAACUAGGGGUACUAGGGGUAAUGUGUCGCCUAGCGAGUAUGUAACCUCGUUUAUCAACGAUGAUUUGAUGUGGUCUUCCCACUACUAAUUAAACCAGGUGUGCAAUCCGUAAGUGUGAUUUUUAUAUAAUAUUAAGGCCUCAAAGCAAUUAGUAGUUGAAUGUGGAAAGCCGGAAGAAGAACGAACCCCUUCUUUGUUGGUUUAGACAUAAGGGGAUUUAAAAAGUUUCCGAAAGACAUUCUGACACGUCCCGACCCCGAUAUCCCCCGAAUAUCAGGAUAGGCACGUGCUGGCCGACACCUGAGGUGACGAAAGCCAUUUAUUGAAGUACAAGAGAAAUGAUUAGGAGAAACACGCACGAUUAAAUAUCUGAAUCCAAAGGGAGUUACAAACAAAGUUUAGGGAAAUAUCUAGAGUGCGCAAAACACGUUCGAAGUCAAGAUCACGAAAGGAAAGAUCAUUACAAAUAUUACACAAGUGGAAGAUAGACUGCUACUGGUAGGGGAAUGCCUCGUAUGAUGCCUCGUAGUCCUCGUUCCUAAGACCUGAAUGGGGGCACAAAACAAAGGUGAGUGGACCAAGCUUGUAUAUAUACAUAGUACAAAAACAGUUAUGAACAUACUAACCCCCACAAUUUAUAUAAUGAAAACUACUAGCAUAAUAAGUGAUAACUUUUCUGAAACCUCUAGCAUGCCAUAAAAAUAAUUCAUAUAUCCAUCUGCAAAUCAAUCUUAGAAAAUCAUAUCAGAAAUCAUCUCAGCAAUCAUAUCAGGAAGCAUAACACAAGUUGUGCUGCUAGUGAGUGCACUGAAUAACAAUACUCCCGGCCCAAUGCCUGCACCUUAGUCUCUGUGUCCGUAGCCAGAGAUAUCUCCCUCCCGGCCCAAUGCCUGUCUCCGUGUCCCUCAGCCUUUCGCUAGGGAUUAUUUCUCCCGGCCUCAAUGCCAACACCAGAUCCUCGCCCCAGGCGGCAUAAUGUUCACUAGGUACGCACAAAACAUAAUUCAUCUCUAAAAUACAACUUCGUAGCAUAAAUUCAUCGAUCCUCUAUACUACGAAGAGGUGUUCGAAAGUCAUUUGAAACACAUUCUUAGCAUCCUAUCGUCAUCGAUCAGAUAGUCUACCAGAAUGAGGGUUCUAUAGAAAAUACGAUAUAAUGGAAAUAGUUCAAAACAUAUAUAUAUAUAUAUAUAUAUAUAUAUAUAUAUAUAUAUAUAUAUAUAUAUAUAUAUAUAUAUAUAUAAUCACGUAUAAUCAAAUCAUCAUGCUUCCUGUAAAGUAUUCCUCAAAUCAAUAAUUCUGCAAGACAUCCUAUUAAAUUAUGCAAUUCUAUCAAUAAAACAUGCAAAUUUUCAAAGGUGGUCCACUCACAGAUACUCCGAAGCAGCAGAAUUGUGCGGAAAAUGAUUAAGGAAGUCUCCACUAGCAACUUCACCUAAGCAUGAAAAUGUACAAUUUAAUAAACUACCCAAAAGAUAGAAUUUUAGGAAAUGGAAAUGGGUUUUUGGGUUUGGGUAGGUUAGGAACAAGAUGGAGUUUGGGCUUAAGCCUAAACCCAUAAUCACAUGCACUGCACCCACACACACAGCAUGCAUAAGCAUGCACUGCACACACACACACACGGCAUGCAUACACACACAGGGCCUGCACACACACUGUGCAGUCCAAAACACACCCACACACUUCAUGCACAUCCCAACACACAACACAUACACUCGCACAGCAUACACACACACAUGUACAUAUGUAUUGCACCACACGUGCACAUACAUAUACAUAUAUAAACACACACACCGCAUGCACAUGCACAAAAUAUACAUAUACCCAUGCACACAUGUACAUAUGCACGACCACACACACACUUGCAUACACACACACACACACACAUGCAUAUAUAUAUAUAUAUACACAUGCUGUGCGUGUGUGUGUGUGUUUAUAUAUGUGUGUGUUUAUAUAUGUGUGUGUGUGUAUAUAUAUAUAUAUAUAUAUAUAUAUAUAUAUAUAUAAACACACACACUAUAAAUUAUUUGGAUCCAAUAUAUUUGAAUUAAUGUUCUGCUACAAUAGCAGCAGAACUUAUAUACAAGAUUAUUGCAGAGUCAUGCAAUAAACAAAGGGCAGAAAGUGGCAUCCAUGCUGUCCUUGUUGAAGCAGUCAGCAACCACAUGCAGUGGCAUUGCUGUCCACGUUAAUAGUGCAUCCACACAUGCGAAGGAAUGAUCAUAUUCCUUCUGUCCAGCGUGUGAGUAGAGCACCUUUAACACUCCCCCUCAAGUUGGAGUGUGGAUAUCAAUAACACCCAACUUGCCAAGAUGUGAAUGGAAGGUAGGUGCUCUCAGUGGCUUUGUAAACAUGUCUGCUAUUUGACGUCCCGUCUGCACAUGAGACGUCUCGAUCUCUCCCCUCUGAAUCCUUUCACGGACAGGAUGAUUUACACGCAAAUCAUUCAACAAAUUCCUCAGCCAAGUAAGCUCACAAGUGGUUGCAGCCAUGGAGCGAUACUCGGCUUCUGCUGAAGAUCUUGCCACCGUGACUUGCUUUUUACUUUUCCACGAUACAAGUGAUUUACCAAGGAAGAUGCAAAAACCUGUCACUGAUCGUCGUGUGAUCGGACAUCUAGCCCAAUCCGCAUCACAGUAGCCAAUCAAAUUAAGUUGGUUCUCCGUAGGAAAUAGUAACCCUUGUCCUGGUGCUUCUUUCAGAUAUUGAAGGAGACGAUGUGCUGCUUUAAGGUGAUGGAGUGUUGGUUCUUGCAAGAACUGACUGAGAUUAUUCACUGCAUACGUAAUAUCUGGCCUGGUGAUGGUAAGGUAUAUUAAUUUUCCAACCAAACGUCGAUAUCGAGUCGGAUCCUUGAGGGCAUCACCACCUGUUGUUGUCAACACUAAAUCGGGUUCCAUAGGUACCUUGGCAGGUUUUACGCCAAGCAAGCCAGCUUCCUCCAAUAUGUCCAGAGUAUACUUUCGUUGGCAAAUGGAGAUCCCAGCUUUGGACCGUGCAACUUCGACACCCAGAAAAUAUUUUAAUGGUCCGAGGUCUUUAAUUCGAAAACAUCCACUAAGAAAUUGCUUGAGUUGACUGAUGGCUUCCUCAUUAUUUCCUGCAAUGAUCAUGUCGUCAACGUAGAGCAAUACUACAGUAAUGGAGUGUCCACAAACUUUAGUGAAUAAUGAGUAGUCUGCAUGAGACUGUUGAAAGCCAACUUCUUGAAUGGUUGAUGAAAAACGUUGGAACCAGCUGCGAGAUGCCUGCUUGAGUCCGUAUAAUGACUUGUGAAGUCGACAAACCAUAGUCUCCCCCUGUCGACGAUAACCAGGAGGUGGUAACAUAUAUACUUCCUCAUGGAGUGCACCGUGAAGGAAAGCGUUUUGGACAUCCAUUUGGUGAAGAGACCAGUUGCGAACAGCAGCAAUGGUCAAGAGACAGCGGACAGUAAUGAGUUUAGCAACGGGGGUGAACGUCUCUUUGUAAUCAAUACCUUCGCGCUGCGUGAACCCUUUGGCGACAAGGCGAGCCUUGUAGCGUUCGAUGGAACCGUCGGAAUGAUACUUGAUUUUGAAGACCCAUUUACAUCCAAUGGGGCGUUGGUGGAGGGGUAAAGGAACCAAAGUCCAGGUGUGAUUGGCUUCAAGUGCUUUAAGCUCAGAAUGCAUAGCUGCAAGCCAGUGAGGGUCAUGGCGUGCCUGCUCAUAGGAGGCUGGUUCAACUAAGUGAGAGACAUUGUGAAUAAAUGAACGAUGAGCAUGAGAGAGUCGAGCAUAAGAAACAUACCUGUGAAGAGGAUAUCGUGUGCCGAACAUGGUGGAAGAGAUGGCAUUGGACUGAAGCAAAGCAGCAUGAUGGGUCUAAUAGUCACGAAGGUGGGCAGGGGGUUGUUUAAUGCGUGCUGAUCGACGAAGGGGAGUGAGGGGCAGCGAAGGAGACGAUGGUGCAGGAGGUGGCGAGGUAGGAGUGUCUGGGGUUGGAGGAAGUAUGUUAGGAGUAAGGUCGUCAGGAAGGGAGGGAAUGAGGUCUGAAGGUGCAGGAGUAGGGUCAUCAAGAGGAACAGGUAAGACCGGGGUAGUGUGGGCAGGUUCUGGUGGUAAGUUAGCAAGAGGGAAAAAAUGUUCAUGGAAGAUGAUAUCUCGAGAGGUAAAGAUACGCUUGCUAUCAAGGUCGUAAACGCGAUAGCCCUUCUGACCAAGGGGAUAUCCCAGGAAAAUGCAGCGACGAGCACGAGCAUCAAAUUUGUGUGAGGGAGUGAGGUUGGUAGCAUAGCAUAAACACCCAAAAACUCGGAGGUGAGUGUAGACAGGUAGUGUCCCAUGCAAAAGUUUAUAGGGAGAUUGAUGGGAAAGCAGAGGUGUUGGGAGGCGGUUGAUAAGGUAACAGGCAAUUUGUACACUCUCCCCCCAGAAUUUUAAGGGUAGGUUAGCUUGGAAUCGUAAGGCUCGGGCAACAUUUAAAAGGUGACGGUGUUUGCGUUCAACGACUCCGUUCUGUUGAGGGGUGUGAGCACAGGUGUGUUGAAAAAGAGUGCCAUGAGUAUCUAAGAAGGAUCGUAGAGAUAUGAAUUCCCCCCCAUUGUCUGCACGAAGGAUUUUAAUGUCACGGUUAAACUGUGUUUUCACCCAAGAAAAGAACGAUUGGAUUAUGGUUUGUGUGUCAGAUUUAAAUCGCAUGAGAUGAACCCAUGUGAAUCGAGUGAAGUCGUCUACAAUGGUGAGGAAGUAACGUGCUCCAGAGGGUGUAUGUGUGUGGUGCGGCCCCCAAAUAUCACAGUGGAUCAAAUCAAAAGGUGCAAUUGAUUUUAUUGAACUGGAAACAAAUGAUGAACGAGUUUGCUUUGCUAAGGGACAAAUAUCACAAACAUGUGUAGAAUGAAAAAUACUUUCUGGAAUGGUCUGGGAUAAAGAGUGAAGAGGAGCCGAGGAUGGGUGCCCAAGACGUUGGUGCCACAGUGUCGAGGUAUGGUUGACAUGGUUGGCGAGAUGAGGGUUUUGUGUAGGAGUGAGGUAGUAGAGGCCAUUAAACUGCUUGCCCAGGCCAAUCAUCUUCUUUGUAGCCAUGUCCUGCACAACACAAAAACCCGGGUAGAAAAUCACAAUACAUUUCAAUGCCCAAGUUAAUUUGCUCACAGACAAUAGGUACGUGCAAAACUCUAUGAAGGGUGAUAGUGGGUGACAGUUUAAUAGACCCAAUGGAUUCAAUCGCAGCCUGUCCACCAUUUGGUAACCCAACAAAAUCAUGUUGGGGUCUAGUGUGAUUAUGGAUGGGUGACGAGUGAGAAAUAUGAUCUGUGGCUCCGCUAUCUACGAUCCAACAGGUUGUUGAAUGCGGAGAAUGUUGUGUAAAGUUGCAGUUGGGCGUAUAGAUACAUGUUGCAUGUGCAAGCGGCAGAUUGGUACCAUUCUUAUUGCGAAUGAGGGCCAUGAGUUGAUGAUAUUCCUCGGUUGUGAACGUUGGUUGAUUGCUGGAGAUGGGUACUUUGGUUGCGUCAAUCUGAGCAGUUGUCAAUGGGAGCGUUUCAACAUUGUUGGAGGCUGGAGGUGUACGCCUAUUUCUGGGCUGCACAUUCUUUCCGUGCCAUUUGUGUCCUUCAGGGAAGCCAAUAAGAAAAAAAUAACGUUCAACUGGAUGUCCUCCGUCACAGUAGCUGCAUUUGAAAGUCUUUCGUGAACUAGGGUUGUGGGUGCCAUAGCCUCAUUUUGGUGCUGUUGAACGACUGGAUUGCAUUGCAUGGGUAGUGGGUUCACGACGAUUCACCACAUCCAAUUGGCGUUCGUGUUGGAGAACCAAUCCAUGGACUCGUCGUGUAUCCGGGAGUGGGCUCAUCAUCAAUAUAGAGCCUCGUAUGGUGGAGUAGUUAUGUUCAGUCCCAUUAAGAACUGCAUGACUCUCUCUUUUUCUUCCCUGUUUGCAUGCGCCUUGGAUCCUUCGCAUUCACAAGCAAUGGGCUCAUGGUAUGAUGCUAAUUCAUCCCAAAGAGCUUUUAAUUUUGUGUAAUAAUCUGAAACAGAUAGUUGUCCUUGUCGGUGUUUGACAAUUUCUUGUCGGAUUUGAUAGAUCCUGGAAUCGUUGCCUUGCGAGAAUCGAUCCUCAAGAUCCCUCCAUGCUGCUGUCGCAGUUUUGCAGUAGAGUAUAUUGUGAGCAAUGUUGCCUUGUACAGAUUGCCAAAUCCAAGAUAAGACCAUGUCGUUGCAUCUCUGCCAAAUUGAAUAUUUAGCAUCAGUGGUUGCAGGGUUCUUGAUUGAACCAUCAACAAACCCUAGCUUAUUUUUGGCGCUGAGAGCAAUUCGCAUGGAGCGGCUCCAUUGUCCAUAGUUGUGUCCAUCGAGAAGUUGUGAGACUAAAACAAGACUUGGUGAGUCUGAAUGAUGUAGAAUGAGAGGAUCAGAUACAUGAGGUAUCAUCUGGUCGUCCAUGGUGGCUGGGUUUGAUGAAGAGAAACUGGUUGUGUUUGUGGCGGAAGCAAAAAUGAGCCUUCCAGAGUCACCAAGAUCGGUGCUCUGAUACCAUAUAAAUUAUUUGGAUCCAAUAUAUUUGAAUUAAUGUUCUGCUACAAUAGCAGCAGAACUUAUAUACAAGAUUAUUGCAGAGUCAUGCAAUAAACAAAGGGCAGAAAGUGGCAUCCAUGCUGUCCUUGUUGAAGCAGUCAGCAACCACAUGCAGUGGCAUUGCUGUCCACGUUAAUAGUGCAUCCACACAUGCGAAGGAAUGAUCAUAUUCCUUCUGUCCAGCGUGUGAGUAGAGCACCUUUAACACACACACAACACACCAUACACGUGCACACACAUGCAUGCACUACACCACACACAUGCAUGCACACACACCGUACAUUCACACGCAUACACACACUCACCCCCACAACACACAUACAUAUACUUACACACCACACACACAUACGUGCACUACAUACACACACAACUACACCCCGUACACACUGCACAAACACAUACUCACGAACUCGCCGGAGUUCGUCGUCGGAACCGGACAUGCAUGCACAAGGGAUGGCAAGGGUUUGGGCUUGAAUAAAGGGUUCUAAAACUUCAGAAAUAUACAUAAGAACUUACCCAGAAAUUUGAAGAAGGAACACCAUUCUCACCUGGGUUCGAGUUUUAGAAAAACCCACGGUGCUCAGAUGGCGCAUGCAAGGGUACCAUUGAGUUCGUUAGGUCUUAAUGAUUCCAAAUCGAUGGUUUUUGGGGUUUGAUUUGUGAAGGAAGUGAGGUGAAAGUUAGAGAGAAGCUCUCGGAGCUUGGACAGUGAGAGAGAGAGAGAGAGAAGAAACUGAAAAAAAAAAUAAACAAAAGAGAAAGGUUCUGUGAUGGGGAGUGUUUCGGGAAUAGAGGGAAGAAGGGAGAGAUAUGAGAGCUGCCACAUGGCAGUCUAAGAGAGACAACAUUUCUAGAUCAAGGGUUAGGAUUAAAAGAGAAUAAGGGACUAAAUUGAUAGAUAACAAAUAUGUUCUAGGGGAAAAAUAGAAAUAGGAUGAAAAAUGGGGGUGGAGUUUAACACAUUCUUCAACACACUUCUUAGUGUGUUUUGGAUAAAGGGCUGGCUUCUCCAUAAUCUUGACACCUUGGAGUCGAAGUACGAAUCGUGCUGUCAGCUGCUUUGAAGAGGAUGAGUUUUUUUCCUGUUGGCGAGUGCCUUCCUUUUGCCAAAAAAAAUUACCGAGUUAUAGUACGAGGAACAAGAUUGGAAGAACUUUCCCAUUUUUCCAUGAAAUAUGCGACUCCAAUCCUUGAAGAAGACAUCUAAGACUUGCCAAAACAUCGUCACCAUCACCCUUGUGUUAUUGGCACUUCAAAAGCGAAGAAAGAACACCCCAAACCCCUCUCUUCCAUUCGUAUGGUACUGUUCAUCGUCUUCCUUGAUGAGUUUCUUGAUUUUCCAACGUUGGUAAGCUUCUAAAAACCCUUGGGAAGUGUUUUAGGGUUAGAUUGAAGCUUUUUUUAAGUUGUAUAUACAUUUGAAUCACAGCAAAUAGCUUGAGGAAGCUUUUCCAAAUUUUCUGGCGAGCACCGCCCCUUUCGAGACAAUUUCCGGCCAAACCACGGCGAGUUAGACGUCGUACGAACUCUUCUUCUCUUCGAGGGAUACAACUUUCAUUUUUUAAUCACUCGAUUUCGUUGAGUUUUGACAAAGUUAUGAACGUUUAAAGCUAAGGAACUUUUCGGCCGAAUUCCGACCUUCUCUUUCAAAUGGGUCCGGCGACCCACAAUUGGAACUCGGGCUGGGCUUUCAAGACCCAAAGCCCUUUCGAACCAGGCCUUUGGGCCGUUGAGCCUAAGCCCAAAACCUUAAGGCAACCCAAUCUUUUUAUUUUGUUAUUUAUUUUAUUUGUUUAUUUUCUGUUAGAAACCCAAAGGCCCUUGGGCCAUUCAGUUAGGGCCUUAGGCCCGUGGACUCUUUUAACCCUUAAAACUCUAAGCCCUUUUUCCCUUAAACCCCAACCCAAAUCCUUUUGUUUUUAUUUAUAUUAAUUGUUUGAAACUAAACCCAAACUCUUAAAGUCCAACCAUUUCAUCAAACGACUAUAAUUAUUAUAACUUAAAGGGACUCAUCUAUUUGUAGCCGUUGGAUUUUCAUCCAACGGCUCACGUGUGUUGGUUAGGAGGAUCUUCUCCUUGGGCUUAGGAGAGGAUCCAAAUCCCAUGAAGACCAUGCAUCCUGACAAUUCUGAUCAACCCCCACGCUACUCCAAUUCGAUGACAAGAAUCCCAAGCCCAAGUGCAUGCUUGGAGAUAUAAUUUGCAUUCUAUUGAUUAUCCAAUAUGAGAAAAUAUCAAGAUAAUUCAUAUUAAAAGAUAAUAUUAUAAUUGAAAAUAAUAAUAUUGGGAAUUGUUAUUAACACUCCAAAAAUCUCAUUCUACACUUCAAACUUUCUAUAUUGGGAAAGAAAAAUACACUUGUGAGGAGUUUAGAAUAAGAUUUUUGGAGUGCCAAUAGCACUUCCCAUAAUAUUAUCUCUUAACAAUAAUAAAUUAUCUUAGCAUUCCAAUCCAAUUAACGAUUCAAAAUUUUGCACACUCAACGGUCUCGACUGCUCAGGUCGAUGAUGCAAAAUCGAGUACAAACAAUAUCAUAAAAAGUUUAAAAACUUUUAGAUACUAAGUUUUGGGGGAAUACAUAAAUGGACGGAGAAGAUAAUUUUUCAUUUUUCAUAAGUCUCCAUCACUCGAAGACUUGUAGUCUUUGUUUGAUCAUGGAGAGCUGGUUUCCAUCUUUUCCCAAUUCUGUAUGUUUUCUAUCUUUUCCCAUUUCUGUCCUACUCCUGCCCCACUGAGAACAUGAACUUCAGAUUUGACAGCACCUGUAUCCGUCCUCUAAUUUGGAUUCACUUUCCACAUUUUCCAGCUACUAUGGAGGUUAAAGUGAAGACGACAUUCGAACUCUGAUCAGAUGCAAAAGUAAAUGCUGGAAGGCUUCAUUACCAUUCUUUGUACUUUGCUUGUCCUUUGUUAAUGUACCUUUCUGUAAGUUACUUAGUUGGCGCUAUUGUUGAAUUUUGACUCGUACACGUGAAUGGUCAGCAAACGUGCGAGUCAUGCUCAUACUUACGUAGUCUUUUUGGUUUGGAAGAUUCAAAUAUGUCACGUUAUAUAAUCGAACCUAGAACCUAGAGUGUAGUGGUAAAUAUUCUUAACUACUUAAAUUACAAGUUCUUUGCUGGUUUGGGACAUUUAUAAGUGCUUAAGUAGAAUUGUGAAAUGGGUGAGGGACAAGACUAGGAUGAAAAGAGAUUCGAGAGAGACGCAGCCCAUUGUUAAUAACAUCAAUAUUGCCCCAACUUGCUUCGCCUUACCACCUAUUAGCAGAGUAGGUAUGAAGUUUUAUCUCAAAAGAUCUUGGUGCCGUUACGUAAAGAACUUAUUCAAUAUUAUAAUUUUCUCAAUUUUCCAAAAGAGAAUUCCUACAUUUUGAACAUGUAAUCCGGCCACGACAUCUGUAGGGUCGGAUAAAUUUUUAUGUGCGAUCGUAGGGGUCAUAUCGUGGCUGCUGAUGGUUAACAUUGACUUGGAAAAGAAAUGUGGUACACACAUCUAAUUCCAGGAAGAAACUUGAGACAAAGACAUGCAUGGAGAUUAGUCAAGCCUAAACUAUGGUACACAUGCAUUUCCAUCAAGAAAUUUCAAGGAAACAAUGCUUCAUUGAUAUAUAUAUUGCUAAUUAAGCUAGGUCGAAAUAUUGGUGCAUUUGCAAUGGCAAUGACUUUUCCUGUACGGAUGCUUUUGUUCACCUCAUUGUUUUUGCUACCAAUUUCUGUGUUUUCCCAAAAUAAUGGAAGAGUAGCAGUUGGAGAUUCUCUAACUGCAACUACAGGUGACUCCUCAUCAUGGCUUUAUCCAUCCGGUGAUUUCGCAUUUGGAUUUAAGCCCCUCGGAAACAAUGAUCGUUUCUUGCUUUCUAUAUGGUAUGCGAAAAUCCCAGAAACCGUAGUUUGGUAUAACAGCCCCGUGGUUACACCUUGGGGAUCAAUUUUGAACUUGACUGCCGACAGUGGACUAGUUCUUAACAAUCCUCAGGGUGGAGAGAUAUGGAAAUCCCCUAUAACUUCCGGGGUUGUUGCGAACGUGGUCAUGAAUGACACUGGAAACUUCGUCCUUCAAGAUGAAAACUCGGGGAGCUUAUGGGAGACCUUCAACAAUCCUACAGACACCGUUUUGCCUGGACAGACAAUUGAGAGAAAAGGGAAGCUUUCGUGUAAGCAAUCGGAGGCUAAUUACGAAAAAGGGCGGUUCCAGCUGCGCUUGCAAGAUGAUGGAAACCUCGUGCUCAACACCGUAAACUUGCCCACAGAUUAUGCCAACAAAGCCUUACUAUGCCACAGGCACAUUCUCGGGGGCUGAGGAUGGUAGUAAAGGUAAACAAUUGGUGUUCAACAGCUCAGGGGACAUGUUUGUUCUGACAGAAAAUGGGGGAAUACACACUCUCACAGGGACACAGGGAGUCUCGGUGAGGGACAACUACAUAAGGGCAACUCUUGAUUUUGAUGGGAUUUUCGCACUAUAUUCUCACCCGAAAAAUUUCACUGGAAAUGCAAGCUGGAGGAGUCCCCUGUGGUAUAAGCCGGAUGAUAUUUGCCAAGCACUUUUGGAAGACGAGGGCGUUGGUGUCUGCGGAUACAACAGUGUCUGUAAGAUCAACCCAGACAAAAGGCCAACCUGCGAUUGCCCAAAAGGAUUUUCGUUUUCUUGAUCCCAAGGACAAAUACCGAAGGCUGUAAACCCGAUUUUAUACAAGGCUGUGAAGAAGAUAAGCUACAAAGUCCUAGAAAAGAUUUGUAUGAUGUCGAAGUGCUGACAGAUACUGAUUGGCCAACCUCAGAUUAUGUGCAGCUGAAGCCUUUUACCGCGGACAAGUGCAAUGAAUCUUGCUUUCAAGACUGUUUGUGCGCUGUUGCUGUUUUCAGGCUUGAUACCUGCUGGAAAAAGAAGUUACCUCUGUCAAACGGGAGAGUGGACGAAAAUCUUAAUUCACAGACCUUCAUCAAAGUCCGAAAGGAUAAUGUAAAUCUGCAGUUUCCUCCAAUGCCAAUUCCAGAUGAUAAAGAGAAGAGCAAGACCAAACUGAUACAUGUGGUAUCAGCACUAUUAGGUAUGACACGCCCCGACCCUGAUAUUUCCCCGAAUAUCAGGGUAGGCACGUGCUGGCCGACACCCGAGGGUGACGAAAGCCAUUAAUUGAUACAAAAGCUAGGAAUAAGAAAUAAAUACGGGUUAUGAAUUUAAAAACAAUGAAUUAACAAUUUAGGAACGUGUUCAGAGCAUACAACUAAACAUAGUCACUAACAAGAAUUAAGAUAAGAUUGAAUGAACAAGGAGUAGGUCCUACCCCGAGAGGACUCGAAGAUGCUGCUGCGGAAGUGCCUUGACGCCGGGAUCAUGUGCCUUGAUCCUAAAUCCUGAAUGGGGGCGCAAAACAAGGGUGAGUGGACCAAGUUUAUAUACAUACAUAGUACGAAAACAGUUACAAACAUACUAACCCCCACAGUUUAAUAAUGAAAACUACUAGAAUAAUAAGUGAUAAGCUUUUCAGAAAAACUCUAGCAUGCCAUAAAACAAUUCAUAAUAUCCAUCUGCAAAUCAAUCUCAGAAAAUCAUAUCAGAAAUCGUAUCAGGAAGCAUAACACAAGUUGUGCUGCUAGUGAGUGCACUGAAUAAUAAUACUCCCGGCCCAAUGCCUGCACCUCAGUCUCUGUGCCCGUAGCCAGAGAUAUCUCCCUCCCGGCCCAAUGCCUGUCUCCGUGUCCCUCAGCCUUUCGCUAGGGAUUAUUUCUCCCGGCCUCAAUGCCAACACCAGAUCCUCGCCCCAGGCGGCAUAGUGUUCACUAGGUACGCACAAAACAUAAUUCAUCUCUAAAAUACAACUUCGUAGCAUAAAUUCAUCGAUCCUCUAUACUACGAAGAGGUGUUCGAAAGUCAUUUGAAACACGUUCUUAGCAUCCUAUCGUCAUCGAUCAGAUAGUCUACCAGAAUGAGGGUUCUAUAGAAAAUACGAUAUAAUGGAAUUAGUUCAAAACAUAUAUAUAUAAUCACGUAUAAUCAAAUCAUCAUGCUUCCUGUAAAGUAUUCCUCAAAUCAAUAAUUCUGCAAGGCAUGCUAUUUAUAUAUGCAAUUCUAUAAAUAAAACAUGCAAUUUUUGAAGGUGGUCCACUCACAGAUACUCCGAAGCAGCAGAAUUGUGUGGAAAACGAUUAAGGAAGUCUCCACUAGCAACUUCACCUAAGCACGAAAAUGUACAAUUUAAUAAACUACCUAAAAGAUAGAAUUUUAGGAAAUGGAAAUGGGUUUUGGGUUUGGGUAGGUUAGGAUCAAGAGGUGGUUUGGGCUUGAGCCCAACCCAUACUUAUACACACACGGCACACACACCACACAUUCACACACAUACAUACACAACACAUACUCACACAGCUGCACCGCAUAACGCACACACUGUACACUUCAUACAAUACACAAACAUACACAACACACACGUGCACCAUACACCAUCACACUUACUCUCACACACACACACACUUGCACGGACACCAACAUGCCAAACACACACACAGACAGCAUGCACAUAUAUAUAUAUAUAUAUAUAUAUACAAAUAUACACACAGAGGCAACAUGCAUAUAUAUAUAUAUAUAUAUAUAUAUAUAUAUAUAUAUAUAUAUAGAUACAUACAUAUAAACACACACGCAUGCACAGCAUGCAUAUAUAUAUAAGCACACACACGCACAGCAUCAUGCAUAUAUAUAUAUAUAUAUAAUCACACACACGCACAGUAAGCAUACUUACACACACACACACACGGUUCACGCACACACACUUGCACAACGUAUACACUGCACAAACGCACACUCACGAACUCGCCGGAGUUCGUCGUCGGAACCGGACAUGCAUGCACAAGGGAUGGUAAGAGUUAGGGCUUGAAUAAGGGGUUCUAAAACUUCACAAAUAUACCUAAGAACUCACCUAGACGCACUGCAGCAGGUUUUGGGAAGAAAUGGACCUCGAACUCGUCGGAGCUAGAUUAUUGACACAGAGAAAAACUGAGCUCAAAACCCUUGAGUUUUGUCAUAAAAACAACAUGCAUAACCCAGAAAUUUGAAGAAGGAACACAAUCUUUACCUGGGUUCGAGUUUUAGAGCUUUGAAGCUCUCGGCUUCAAUGGCAGAAAAACCCACGGUGCUCAGAUGGCGCAUGCAAGGGUACCAUUGAGUUCGUUAGGUCUCAAGGAUUCCAAAUAUAUGGUUUUUGGGGUUUGAUUUGUGAAGGAAGUGAGGUGAAAGUUAGAGAGAAGCUCUCGGAGCUUAGAGAGUGUGAGAGUUUUUGAGAGUUAGAGAGAGAGAGAGAAACACAAAAAGAGAGGUUCUGAGAUGUGUUUCGGGAAGAGAGGGAAGAAGGGAGAGAUCUGAGAGCUGCCACAUGGCAGUCUAAGAGAGACAACAUUUCUAGAUCAAAGGUUAGGAUUAAAAGAGAAUAAGGGACUAAAUUGAUAGAUAACAAAUAUGUUCUAGGGGAAAAAUAGAAAUAGGAUGAAAAUGGGGGUGGGGUUUAACAAGGUACCUCCAUCUUUGUUAAUGUUGCUGCUCUCUGCCUCGGUUUUUUAUUCAUAUUCCGGAAGAAACCUGUAAGAUCUAGUACCGAUAUUGUUUUCGACUCGAAUUUGCGCUCUUUUAGCUAUGAAGAGCUACAAGAAGCUACAAAUGGAUUCAAGGAAGAAUUAGGAAAGGGUGCUUUUGGAGUGGUUUUCAAAGGGGUGAUGCAAAUUGGUUUUGGUGUCGAAGUGGCGGUGAAGAAGCUACGCUAUGUUAUGCAAGAUGUCGAGAAGGAGUUUAAAACAGAACUGAAUGUAAUUGGUAAGACGCAUCAUAAGAAUCUGGUUCGUCUUUUCGGAUAUUGUGACGAGGGGCAACAGAGAAUGGUAGUUUAUGAGUUCUUGAGCAAUGGCACACUGGCAAGCUUUCUUUUUUCAGAUAUCAAACCAAGUUGGAAACAGCGAAUUGAAAUCGCUUAUGGCAUUGCGAAAGGGCUUUUGUACUUGCAUGAAGAGUGCAGCACGCAGAUUAUCCAUUGUGACAUAAAGCCACAGAACAUACUUCUCGAUGAUUAUUACACUCCUCGGAUUCUGAUUUUGGAUUAGCAAAACUUUUGAUGAUGAAUCAGAGCCAGACUCAUACCGCUAUCCGAGGAACAAAAGGUUAUGUUGCACCUGAGUGGUUCAGGAACUUGGCAAUCACUACCAAAGUUGAUGUGUACAGCUUUGGUGUUGUGCUGCUGGAGAUUAUUUGUUGUAGGAGAAAUGUUGAUGUGGAAGGUAACUUGGAAGAGAGAGCAAUUUUAACGGAUUGGGU